ACUCAAAGGAAUUGACGGGGGCCCGCACAAGCAGUGGAUUAUGUGGUUUAAUUCGAAGCAACGCGAAGAACCUUACCAGGUCUUGACAUCCCAUGCAUACUCUAGAGAUAGAGGAAGUUCUUCGGAACAUGGAGACAGGUGGUGCAUGGUUGUCGUCAGCUCGUGUCGUGAGAUGUUGGGUUAAGUCCCGCAACGAGCGCAACCCUUACGAUUAGUUGCUACGCAAGAGCACUCUAAUGGGACUGCCGUUGACAAAACGGAGGAAGGUGGGGAUGACGUCAAAUCAUCAUGCCCCUUACGACCUGGGCUACACACGUAAUACAAUGGCACUAUAACAGAGGGAAGCAAAGCCGCGAGGUGGAGCAAAACCCCAAAAAGUGUCUCAGUUCGGAUCGCAGGCUGCAACUCGCCUGCGUGAAGUCGGAAUUGCUAGUAAUCGCGGAUCAUCAUGCCGCGGUGAAUACGUUCCCGGGCCUUGUACACACCGCCCGU
This 492-nucleotide ribosomal RNA is filed under the name uncultured bacterium. RNAcentral's name for it is "bacterial SSU rRNA". It matches the Rfam family "Bacterial small subunit ribosomal RNA", at positions 899 to 1397 of the family's 1533-position model. The record is from RNAcentral.